Molecule: long non-coding RNA, 786 nt
Filed under: Coccomyxa subellipsoidea
Lineage: Eukaryota; Viridiplantae; Chlorophyta; Trebouxiophyceae; Coccomyxaceae
Description: long non-coding RNA (CSUB_LNC000017)
Source: RNAcentral
CUGAUCCUCAGCGCGGGCCACAGGUGGAGGCAGGCUUGGUGCAGGGCUGCUUUUGAAGGUCUGAACCACCUUGGUAAUCUGACUAAAAAAGCUGAUGUUGCCUGCUCCAGUACUGGCGGCCAUUGGUGCUGGCAGCGGUGCAGCUGGCUGCGGUGGUGGUAGCCCUGCAAGCAAAAGACCAAUUCCUGUGACACUCUGCUAUAGAUAUUGCCAGCUGUGCACACAGUGAUGAUAAGGUACUCGCUCUGUGCGGUUUAGUCGAGGGGCAUUGCUGUGCUGCAACAAAGGCAGUGGUUAGAAGAUACCUGGAGUGAUGUCCAUUGCCACUGGAACACUGUCCUCCGCCGCUGCUUGUGCGCCAGAGCCCUGCUUUGAACAUCAAGGUUGGUUCAGCGGCAUGCGCUAGCUGCAGGAACAAGCGGAUUAAUGACGUCCUACCCUUCAUGUUCUGCUCUUAUGCAUCUUGCAGGUGGAGAUUGACCCCUCUUCAGGUUCAUGUCUACAAACCCUGGGUGCAGAUGUACAGCAAUACCCGUACACUUUGUGCUACAGCUAAUGUGGCGACACUGCUUCCAACACACACUCCAUCGCGCACACAGGACAGCAGCAAUGUCUGCAGUAGGGCGUAGCCAGCACAAGGCUCACCUCCAUUAUUGGCGCCAGUACCGGCUCAGAGCAAGUUUUGAUCACAACUGCCGGCUCCAAUCCCUCAAGUGGUAGGCCCUGUUCGGCAGGUCCUGGUGCCAUGACUCCGUCCUCAAUCGUAAUCUUGGGAGCGGUGGGCCU